This 2734-nucleotide ribosomal RNA is filed under the name Streptococcus pneumoniae. Its description in RNAcentral is "23S ribosomal RNA". It matches the Rfam family "Bacterial large subunit ribosomal RNA". The record is from RNAcentral. Lineage: Bacteria; Bacillati; Bacillota; Bacilli; Lactobacillales; Streptococcaceae.
GGAGGAAGACGCAGUGAACUGAAACAUCUAAGUAGCUGCAGGAAGAGAAAGCAAAAGCGAUUGCCUUAGUAGCGGCGAGCGAAACGGCAGGAGGGCAAACCGAAGAGGUUACUCUUCGGGGUUGUAGGACUGCAAUGUGGACUCAAAGAUUAUAGAAGAAUGAUUUGGGAAGAUCAGCCAAAGAGAGUAAUAGCCUCGUAUUUAAAAUAGUCUUUGUACUUAGCAGUAUCCUGAGUACGGCGGGAAACGUGAAAUCCCGUCGGAAUCUGGGGGGACCAUCUCCCAACCCUAAAAACUCCCUAGUGACCGAUAGUGAACCAGUACCGUGAGGGAAAGGUGAAAAGCACCCCGGGAGGGGAGUGAAAUAGAACCUGAAACCGUGUGCCUACAACAAGUUCGAGCCCGUUAAUGGGUGAGAGCGUGCCUUUUGUAGAAUGAACCGGCGAGUUACGUUAUGAUGCGAGGUUAAGUUGAAGAGACGGAGCCGUAGGGAAACCGAGUCUGAAUAGGGCGCCUUAGUAUCAUGACGUAGACCCGAAACCAUGUGACCUACCCAUGAGCAGGUUGAAGGUGCGGUAAGACGCACUGGAGGACCGAACCAGGGCACGUUGAAAAGGUGCUUGGAUGACUUGUGGGUAGCGGAGAAAUUCCAAACGAACUUGGAGAUAGCUGGUUCUCUCCGAAAUAGCUUUAGGGCUAGCGUCGACAUUAGAGAUUCUUGGAGGUAGAGCACUGUUUGGGUGAGGGGUCCAUCCCGGAUUACCAAUCUCAGAUAAACUCCGAAUGCCAAUGAAUUAUGGUCGGCAGUCAGACUGCGAGUGCUAAGAUCCGUAGUCGAAAGGGAAACAGCCCAGACCACCAGCUAAGGUCCCAAAAUAAUUGUUAAGUGGAAAAGGAUGUGGGGUUGCACAGACAACUAGGAUGUUAGCUUAGAAGCAGCUAUUCAUUCAAAGAGUGCGUAAUAGCUCACUAGUCGAGUGACCCUGCGCCGAAAAUGUACCGGGGCUAAAACAAUUUACCGAAGCUGUGGAUACCUUUAUAGGUAUGGUAGGAGAGCGUUCUAUGUGUGAUGAAGGUAUACCGUGAGGCGCGCUGGAACGCAUAGAAGUGAGAAUGCCGGUAUGAGUAGCGAAAGACAGGUGAGAAUCCUGUCCACCGUAAGACUAAGGUUUCCAGGGGAAGGCUCGUCCGCCCUGGGUUAGUCGGGACCUAAGGAGAGACCAAAAGGUGUAUCCGAUGGACAACAGGUUGAUAUUCCUGUACUAGAGUAUGUAGUGAUGGAGGGACGCAGUAGGCUAACUAAAGCAGACGAUUGGAAGAGUCUGUCUAAGCAGUGAGGUGUGAAUUGAGUCAAAUGCUUAAUUCUAUAACAUUGAGCUGUGAUGGGGAGCGAAGUUUAGUAGCGAAGUUAGUGACGUCACACUGCCAAGAAAAGCUUCUAGCGUUUAAACAUACUCUACCCGUACCGCAAACCGACACAGGUAGUCGAGGCGAGUAGCCUCAGGUGAGCGAGAGAACUCUCGUUAAGGAACUCGGCAAAAUGACCCCGUAACUUCGGGAGAAGGGGUGCUGACUUUAAGUCAGCCGCAGUGAAUAGGCCCAAGCAACUGUUUAUCAAAAACACAGCUCUCUGCUAAAUCGUAAGAUGAUGUAUAGGGGGUGACGCCUGCCCGGUGCUGGAAGGUUAAGAGGAGUGCUUAGGGUAAGCGAAGGUAUGAAUUGAAGCCCCAGUAAACGGCGGCCGUAACUAUAACGGUCCUAAGGUAGCGAAAUUCCUUGUCGGGUAAGUUCCGACCCGCACGAAAGGCGUAAUGAUUUGGGCACUGUCUCAACGAGAGACUCGGUGAAAUUUUAGUACCUGUGAAGAUGCAGGUUACCCGCGACAGGACGGAAAGACCCCAUGGAGCUUUACUGCAGUUUGAUAUUGAGUGUCUGUACCACAUGUACAGGAUAGGUAGGAGUCUAAGAGAUCGGGACGCCAGUUUCGAAGGAGACGCUGUUGGGAUACUACCCUUGUGUUAUGGCCACUCUAACCCAGAUAGGUGAUCCCUAUCGGAGACAGUGUCUGACGGGCAGUUUGACUGGGGCGGUCGCCUCCUAAAAGGGAACGGAGGCGCCCAAAGGUUCCCUCAGAAUGGUUGGAAAUCAUUCGCAGAGUGUAAAGGUAUAAGGGAGCUUGACUGCGAGAGCUACAACUCGAGCAGGGACGAAAGUCGGGCUUAGUGAUCCGGUGGUUCCGUAUGGAAGGGCCAUCGCUCAACGGAUAAAAGCUACCCUGGGGAUAACAGGCUUAUCUCCCCCAAGAGUUCACAUCGACGGGGAGGUUUGGCACCUCGAUGUCGGCUCGUCGCAUCCUGGGGCUGUAGUCGGUCCCAAGGGUUGGGCUGGUCGCCCCUUAAAGCGGCACGCGAGCUGGGUUCAGAACGUCGUGAGACAGUUCGGUCCCUAUCCGUCGCGGGCGUAGGAAAUUUGAGAGGAUCUGCUCCUAGUACGAGAGGACCAGAGUGGACUUACCGCUGGUGUACCAGUUGUCUUGCCAAAGGCAUCGCUGGGUAGCUAUGUAGGGAAGGGAUAAACGCUGAAAGCAUCUAAGUGUGAAACCCACCUCAAGAUGAGAUUUCCCAUGAUUAUAUAUCAGUAAGAGCCCUGAGAGAUGAUCAGGUAGAUAGGUUAGAAGUGGAAGUGUGGCGACACAUGUAGCGGACUAAUACUAAUAGCUCGAGGACUUAUCCAA